Small nucleolar RNA from Suncus etruscus (white-toothed pygmy shrew), 71 nucleotides. RefSeq annotates it as small nucleolar RNA SNORD49. The record is from RefSeq and is a predicted model, not a curated record. The transcript has a single exon. NCBI's taxonomy places the organism in Eukaryota, Metazoa, Chordata, Mammalia, Eulipotyphla, Soricidae.
UGUGCUGAUGAUAAGUCAUUAGGAAGUGCCGUCAGAUGCGAUAACUGACGACUUUUGAUGCGUAGCUGAUG